RNAcentral lists this ribosomal RNA (474 nucleotides) under uncultured bacterium. RNAcentral describes it as "bacterial SSU rRNA". It matches the Rfam family "Bacterial small subunit ribosomal RNA", at positions 8 to 507 of the family's 1533-position model. The record is from RNAcentral.
AGAGUUUGAUCAUGGCUCAGAUUGAACGCUGGCGGCAUGCCUUACACAUGCAAGUCGAACGGCAGCACGGGGCAACCUGGUGGCGAGUGGCGAGCGGGUGAGUAAUGCAUCGGAACGUGCCAUUGAGUGGGGGAUAACGUAGCGAAAGUUGCGCUAAUACCGCAUAUUCUGUGAGCAGGAAAGCAGGGGCCCGCGGCCCAUUAGCUAGUUGGUGGGGUCAAGGCCUACCAAGGCAACGAUGGGUAGCUGGUCUGAGAGGACGAUCAGCCACACUGGGACUGAGACACGGCCCAGACUCCUACGGGAGGCAGCAGUGGGGAAUCUUGCGCAAUGCGCGAAAGCGUGACGCAGCAACACCGCGUGAGGGAAGACGGCCUUAGGGUUGUAAACCUCUUUCAGAUGGGACGAAGGUGAUGCGGUGAAUAGCCGAUGUCAUUGACGGUACCGUCAGAAGAAGCUCCGGCUAACUACGUG